GUUUCUUCUGGUGAGGUGCUCACUCACGGCAUGGCCCUUCCCACAGAGCUUUGCUGGUCUAAGAAGUCCUAUGCUGACGGUGCCAAAGCCCAGAUGUGGAAUAUGACGCUGGACAAAGACGCAUGAUGGGGGCACACAGGAUUGUUCACGCAGAAAACACRUAAUCCCUCUGGGAUCCCGUCCUCUGUGAGUGUUGCUCUCUAAUCUCAGUGUCCUGGCUSUUGGGCAGUAGCUUUUAACUCUGCAAGUAGGAAGGAAAUGAGGGCUCUCCCUCUCCACACACCGUCACUGGGUUCAGCUCUUUAGCCCUAGAUACCUGCUCUUGCAGGCAGACUGUCCUGACACUGCUCUUCCCGAGAUGAAGGCUUCCUGCGG
Long non-coding RNA from Dromaius novaehollandiae (emu), 375 nucleotides. Lineage: Eukaryota; Metazoa; Chordata; Aves; Casuariiformes; Dromaiidae. The record is from Ensembl.